GAAGGAGAAGUCGUAACAAGGUCUCCGUAGGUGAACCUGCGGAGGGAUCAAUAAUACAAUUAAAAAAAUUAAAAACUACAACUUUUGGUUUAAGUCUACUUAAUAUAAAUAGACUCAAAAGUUAACUUAUCUUCAAUAUUUUCUUAGAGAAAGUUUCCUAGAAACUUUUCUUUAGGUUAAAACAAAACGAGUUGGUAUUAACAACUCGAGACAAUGGAUUCCUUGGGUCUCGAAUC
RNAcentral lists this unclassified non-coding RNA (236 nucleotides) under fungal sp. Its description in RNAcentral is "partial internal transcribed spacer region". The stretch from base 1 to 53 matches the Rfam family "Eukaryotic small subunit ribosomal RNA", at positions 1779 to 1831 of the family's 1831-position model. Lineage: Eukaryota; Fungi. The record is from RNAcentral.